GACGAACGCUGGCGGCGUGCUUAACACAUGCAAGUCGAACGGAGAGGCCUGCUUUCCCUUGUGGAUUGCGGGUACUCGAGUGGCGAACGGGUGAGUAACACGUGAGUGAUCUGCCCCCAACUUGGGUAUAAGCCUGGGAAACUGGGUCUAAUUCCCGAUAGGACUGCAGGGUGGUGCCUGUGGUGGAAAACGAUUUUCUAGUGGUUGGGGAUGAGCUCGCGGCCUAUCAGCUUGUUGGUGGGGUAAUGGCCUACCAAGGCGGCGACGGGUAGCCGGCCUGGGAGGGUGGACGGCCACAUUGGGACUGAGAUACGGCCCAGACUCCUACGGGAGGCAGCAGUGGGGAAUAUUGCACAAUGGGCGGAAGCCUGAUGCAGCGACGCCGCGUGGGGGAUGACGGCCUUCGGGUUGUAAACUCCUUUCGACCGCGAGGAAGCCACCUGGUUGGAAGGGUGGUGACGGUAGUGGUAGAAGAAGCACCGGCUAACUACGUG
This 494-nucleotide ribosomal RNA is filed under the name uncultured bacterium. RNAcentral describes it as "partial 16S ribosomal RNA". It matches the Rfam family "Bacterial small subunit ribosomal RNA", at positions 28 to 507 of the family's 1533-position model. The record is from RNAcentral.